RNAcentral lists this ribosomal RNA (468 nucleotides) under uncultured bacterium. RNAcentral's name for it is "partial 16S ribosomal RNA". It matches the Rfam family "Bacterial small subunit ribosomal RNA", at positions 28 to 507 of the family's 1533-position model. The record is from RNAcentral.
GAUGAACGCUGGCGGCGUGCUUAGCACAUGCAAGUCGAACGGUGAAGGCGGAGCUUGCUCUGCUGGAUCAGUGGCGAACGGGUGAGUAACACGUGAGCAAUCUGCCCCUGACUCUGGGAUAAGCGCUGGAAACGGCGUCUAAUACUGGAUACGAGCUGCGAAGGCAUCUUCAGCAGCUGGAAAGAACUUCGGUCAGGGAUGAGCUCGCGGCCUAUCAGCUUGUUGGUGAGGUAACGGCUCACCAAGGCGUCGACGGGUAGCCGGCCUGAGAGGGUGACCGGCCACACUGGGACUGAGACACGGCCCAGACUCCUACGGGAGGCAGCAGUGGGGAAUAUUGCACAAUGGGCGAAAGCCUGAUGCAGCAACGCCGCGUGAGGGACGACGGCCUUCGGGUUGUAAACCUCGUUUAGCAGGGAAGAAGCGAAAGUGACGGUACCUGCAGAAAAAGCGCCGGCUAACUACGUG